Long non-coding RNA from Athene cunicularia (burrowing owl), 233 nucleotides. RefSeq lists it as uncharacterized. NCBI's taxonomy places the organism in Eukaryota, Metazoa, Chordata, Aves, Strigiformes, Strigidae. The transcript has 2 exons. The record is from RefSeq and is a predicted model, not a curated record.
CAGCCCUCUGCAGCAGCCCCCAGCCUCCUCGUCCGCGGCCCCUUGGGACCCCAGCAGCCCCCAGCUCCAAGGGGCACCCAGGAGCUCUCAGCACCCUGGAGCACCCAAGGGACUCCCCAGCACCCUCCAGCUCCAAAGGGUACCCAGGGUCCCCCAGCACUUAAGGGACGCCCCCCCCACAUCCCUCAGCUCCAACAGAUACUAGGAACCCCCAAUACCCUGCAGGACCCCAA